CUACGGGGUGCACCAGUGAGGAAUAUUGCACAAUGGAGGAAACUCUGAUGCAGCAACGCCGCGUGGAGGAUGACGCAUUUCGGUGUGUAAACUCCUUUUAUGAGUCAAGAAAGUGACGGUAGCUCAUGAAUAAGCACCGGCUAACUCCGUGCCAGCAGCCGCGGUAAUACGGAGGGUGCAAGCGUUACUCGGAAUCACUGGGCGUAAAGGACGCGUAGGCGGGAUAUCAAGUCAGGUGUGAAAUCCUACAGCUUAACUGUAGAACUGCACUUGAAACUGGUAACCUAGAGUAUGGGAGGGGGAGAUGGAAUUAGUGGUGUAGGGGUAAAAUCCGUAGAUAUCACUAGGAAUACCUAAAGCGAAGGCGAUCUCCUGGAACAUAACUGACGCUAAGGCGUGAAAGCGUGGGGAGCAAACAGGAUUAGAUACCCCCGUAGUC
Molecule: ribosomal RNA, 439 nt
Filed under: uncultured bacterium
Lineage: Bacteria
Description: partial 16S ribosomal RNA
Rfam family: Bacterial small subunit ribosomal RNA
Source: RNAcentral